Molecule: ribosomal RNA, 549 nt
Filed under: uncultured bacterium
Lineage: Bacteria
Description: bacterial SSU rRNA
Rfam family: Bacterial small subunit ribosomal RNA
Source: RNAcentral
UGGGGAAUUUUGGACAAUGGGCGCAAGCCUGAUCCAGCCAUGCCGCGUGUCUAAAGAAGGCCUUCGGGUUGUAAAGGACUUUUGUCAGGGAAGAAAAGGCUGUUGCUAAUACCGACAGUUGAUGACGGUACCUGAAGAAUAAGCACCGGCUAACUACGUGCCAGCAGCCGCGGUAAUACGUAGGGUGCGAGCGUUAAUCGGAAUUACUGGGCGUAAAGCGAGCGCAGACGGUUACUUAAGCAGGAUGUGAAAUCCCCGGGCUCAACCUGGGAACUGCGUUCUGAACUGGGUGACUAGAGUGUGUCAGAGGGAGGUAGAAUUCCACGUGUAGCAGUGAAAUGCGUAGAGAUGUGGAGGAAUACCGAUGGCGAAGGCAGCCUCCUGGGAUAACACUGACGUUCAUGCUCGAAAGCGUGGGUAGCAAACAGGAUUAGAUACCCUGGUAGUCCACGCCCUAAACGAUGUCAAUUAGCUGUUGGGCAACUUGAUUGCUUAGUAGCGUAGCUAACGCGUGAAAUUGACCGCCUGGGGAGUACGGUCGCAAGAUUA